GGACCGUGGUACUGGAAAGUCCAGCUUGAUCGUAACUGCUGCGGCGGACAAUUUUCCAGUGAAUGUCCCCCCAGUAUUGCCACCGACGAGGCUGCCUGAAGAUUUUUAUCCGGAUCGCGUUCCCACCACAAUUAUCGAUACUUCAUCACGCACUGAGGAUAGUGCAAAAGUUGCUGAAGAACUUAAGCGAGCUGAUGCAGUGGUGCUAACUUAUGCUUGCGAUCAACCUCACACCCUUGAUCGGC
This 245-nucleotide unclassified non-coding RNA is filed under the name Hevea brasiliensis (rubber tree). The record is from RNAcentral. Lineage: Eukaryota; Viridiplantae; Streptophyta; Magnoliopsida; Malpighiales; Euphorbiaceae.